Molecule: ribosomal RNA, 776 nt
Filed under: uncultured Ramlibacter sp.
Lineage: Bacteria; Pseudomonadati; Pseudomonadota; Betaproteobacteria; Burkholderiales; Comamonadaceae
Description: bacterial SSU rRNA
Rfam family: Bacterial small subunit ribosomal RNA
Source: RNAcentral
CAAGUCGAACGGCAGCACGGGGGCAACCCUGGUGGCGAGUGGCGAACGGGUGAGUAAUACAUCGGAACGUGCCCAGUCGUGGGGGAUAACUACGCGAAAGCGUAGCUAAUACCGCAUACGAUCUACGGAUGAAGGCGGGGGAUCGCAAGACCUCGCGCGAUUGGAGCGGCCGAUGGCAGAUUAGGUAGUUGGUGGGGUAAAGGCUCACCAAGCCUUCGAUCUGUAGCUGGUCUGAGAGGACGACCAGCCACACUGGGACUGAGACACGGCCCAGACUCCUACGGGAGGCAGCAGUGGGGAAUUUUGGACGAUGGGCGAAAGCCUGAUCCAGCCAUUCCGCGUGCAGGAUGAAGGCCUUCGGGUUGUAAACUGCUUUUGUACGGAACGAAAAGCCCUCUUCUAAUACAGGGGGGUCAUGACGGUACCGUAAGAAUAAGCACCGGCUAACUACGUGCCAGCAGCCGCGGUAAUACGUAGGGUGCAAGCGUUAAUCGGAAUUACUGGGCGUAAAGCGUGCGCAGGCGGUUAUGUAAGACAGAUGUGAAAUCCCCGGGCUCAACCUGGGAACUGCAUUUGUGACUGCAUAGCUAGAGUACGGUAGAGGGGGAUGGAAUUCCGCGUGUAGCAGUGAAAUGCGUAGAUAUGCGGAGGAACACCGAUGGCGAAGGCAAUCCCCUGGACCUGUACUGACGCUCAUGCACGAAAGCGUGGGGAGCGAAGAGGAUUAGAUACCCUGGUAGUCCACGCCCUAAACGAUGUCAACUGGGUUGUUGGGU